UUAUCAACGCACCGUAUUUUAUUUGUGUGAACAACAGAUAAUAAAUGCUUGAGUGCUGCUUGAUAUUUCACGAUGCAUAGUUCAUAAUUCAGAAAACAUAAUUUAUCUGACUGGCAUCGGACUUAUCAACGCAAAGUUGAAAAGGGUCGUUCGUUACCAACCGUUUCUCAGUCAGGUGAUUUGUAUUAAACUGCCAUUCUGCUAAAUGCCAAUAUGGGUGAGCGUGCAAUUCCAGUGACUAAAUGUGAAGAAUAGACACUUUCUGGAUAUGUCAAGAACUUAGGAGAUUGUGGAAGUUGAGAAGGGUGUUAGCUGCGUGCAAAAUCAAAAGAGGUCAGUUACCUUACAACUUUCCAAGGUCAGGUAUCGUGGGUCUGACAGGGAGCAAUCCAAAGCAAGGAAUAAACAAAGUAGAAGAGGAUAAGGAAACAUCGAAUGGCACAGUGUUGAGAAUAUUAAUUACAGACUUCAAGAUUUAUCCUCACAGAAAUAUGGCCCUCUUCAGUACGGAAGCCACCAAUGGAUCAAGACCAGCCAAUCAAAUCAUUUUUCACAACUGUGGAAUGUCAAGCCAUCUCAGGAAGUUGUUACAGAAGAGGUUUGCCAGUUGGUCGACUUCGCCUCGAGGGAUUAUGGAAGAACAUCUGAAAUAGCAGGCAUGAUUGUCCCCGUCUCCGUAAAAAGAGGUAUCUGAUUUUUAUUAUUAUAUUUUUUUUAAGGAGAAUUUUUUCGAGUUUUUGGCUAGAAAGGUUUUGCUAACGUCAUCAGCGACAGUAGUAAAAGCUGCUAGACAUAAUUCAGAAUUGCUUCGCGUAAUUGGCAUAACUUUAGACCUUCUUUAGCAUUGCUUCAAACUAUUAGACCCGGUUCCAAUAUUAGGAACAGAUUCUCCAUAUCAAUAUGUGGAAUAUAAAAACCAAUUAGAGCACAAAAUACGAUUGUGAUACUAAUAACAAAAUUGGAGUCUCUUAUAUAUUGAAGCGGAUUUUUUGUGUUUAUAUGUUACAUAAGGUAAAAUAACGAUCAAAGAACAUUUGUUGUAAUACAAAUUAUACCUGAUUAAAGAAAAGGGGCAAAGAGAAACUGUCUAAACGAAUAAAAUAGUUAUCCUUAAUAUGAGCCAUGAAGGUUUUCUAU
Long non-coding RNA from Macrobrachium nipponense, 1137 nucleotides. RefSeq lists it as uncharacterized. The transcript has 3 exons. Lineage: Eukaryota; Metazoa; Arthropoda; Malacostraca; Decapoda; Palaemonidae. The record is from RefSeq and is a predicted model, not a curated record.